Setaria italica (foxtail millet) is the source of this 1726-nucleotide RNA transcript. It is a transcript of the gene named thylakoid membrane protein TERC, chloroplastic, with no coding region annotated. Lineage: Eukaryota; Viridiplantae; Streptophyta; Magnoliopsida; Poales; Poaceae. The record is from RefSeq and is a predicted model, not a curated record. The transcript has 15 exons.
CAUCCGCUGUGGCUGAGCUCGCGGCCGUACGCUUCCGAGCUCCACCCGUCUCACCCCCGACGACCAACCUCGUCGCCGGCGAUGGCUUCCGCGGUGGCCGCUUCGACUGCCACGCGGUUCCUCCCGCAGCUAUCGGCCCCGUUGCUGCGUCGCGCGCGCGUGGCGCUCCUGCCAUCGCCGCUCCCGUGGCGGCCUCUCGCGGUUAGGGUGGCCGCCGCGUCGCGCCGCCCUGGGGACGGGGAGGGCGGGCGGCGGGGGAGGACGCGGAGGCGGCGCGCCAGGGGUGCCGAGCAGGAGGAAGGCGUCUCGCUCAGCUCCGAAAAGGAGCCGGUAAAUUCUACUCCACCACGUGCUCAAACUAACAAGGGCACGGAGCCUGUACUGGAGUCCAGCAUCACUGGGAAAGGUUCGGCCAUUAGAAGGGUUACACUGGUGAUUCUCGCUGCAGUGCUCUUUGGAAUUAGCAUCGCCUUGAGGGAUGGAUCUGAAAAGGCAUCGGAGUAUUUUGCUGGGUAUUUAUUGGAACAGAGUUUGUCGGUGGACAAUCUCUUUGUUUUUGUUCUGGUUUUCAAGUAUUUCAAAGUGCCAAAGGAAUACCAGAACCGAGUGCUUUCUUAUGGUAUUGCUGGAGCAGUGGUCUUUCGGGCUGCGAUGAUCGUCCUUGGAAUAGCUACCAUUGAGAAAUUUGAGGCGGUGAAUCUGCUGUUGGCCUUGAUCCUACUAUUCACUUCUUACAAGCUUUUUGCUGAAGAAGAAGAAGAAUCUGAUCUAUCCGAUAACUUCAUUGUGAAAACAUGCCAAAAGUUCAUUCCAGUCACUGAUUAUUAUGAUGGUGAUCGGUUUUUCACUAUUCAAGAUGGCUUAGGGAAAGCCACACCAUUACUCUUGACUUUGGCAGUGAUUGAGCUGAGUGAUAUUGCUUUUGCUAUUGACUCAAUUCCAGCAGUCUUCGGCGUCACAAGGGAUCCACUUAUAAUACUAUCAUCAAAUAUUUUUGCUAUUUCUGGUUUGCGGUCACUCUAUGUGCUCAUUUCUGAAAGCAUGGCUGAAUUAGAGUAUCUACAGCCUUCUAUUGGUAUCGUUUUGGGCUUCAUCGGGACAAAGAUGGUCUUUGACUUUUUUGGCUAUCAUAUUCCAACAGAAGCUUCGCUUGCUAUCGUUACCACCUGUCUUAGCGGAGGUGUCAUAUUAAGUCUUAGGAAAGCAUCAAAGGAGGAGGGGGACAAGUAGACAGAUGCAACGACACACGCAGUGAGCAAGAAUCGUGUCAAGUAUCAACCAUGUUUGAAACUGACGAGGACUUAGUGUACUUCAUUCAUUGUUCAUGUUUGGAAGUAGAAGGCCUUGGAAGAAUGAAGACACUUGCAAUUUGCGUAACACCAGUGUUGCACUAGUGGUAGCCUCCACUACUUAGCUGACUUGGAAGCAGUUCAGCUUGACGGCUGAGAAUGGCAGACGCGAUCAAGGCAUGACAUUGGUGCCUGAUCCUAAUCUGGAAGUUCCAUGAGUUUAGUUCUGAACCAAACGGUUUUGGGUCAGGGGUCAAUCAAAGACUGCAGGGCAAAAACAUAGGAAUCCGGUCCUUGUAAUGCCUGUUGCUUAAGGUAGCACAUAGAGUAUAUUCUGAACAUGAUGGACAUCAAAACCACAAUUUACAGUGUAACUUAAACAAUAGUAUGCUCAAGCUUAAUAUAUUACAGCAUAUGAAAUUAUUCAUUAUAUUUCA